Molecule: small RNA, 2386 nt
Filed under: Pongo abelii (Sumatran orangutan)
Lineage: Eukaryota; Metazoa; Chordata; Mammalia; Primates; Hominidae
Description: processed transcript
Source: RNAcentral
CACCAUUGUUCCAUCUGCGAGGAGCACCCUUUCUGCAGACAGUAAAAAUUGCCUUGCUGAGGAAAUUAAAUAUAUCUUAAGGAUUCUGAGUUGAAGAGCACAGAGCUGCAGGAGAAAGUGACUGAGCUGGAGAGUUUGCUGGAGGAGACCCAGGCAAUCUGCAGAGAGAAGGAGAUUCAAGUGGAAAGCCUGAGGCAGAGAGAAGCAGAAUUCUCCUCCACUGGACAUAGCCUGCAAGAUAAACAGUCUGUGGAGGAGACCAGUGGAGAAGGUCCAGAAGUGGAAAUGGAGUCCUGGCAGAAGCAAUAUGAUUCGCUCCAAAAGAUUGUGGAGAAGCAGCAGCAGAAGAUGGAUCAGUUGCGCUCACAAGUACAGAGCCUAGAGCAGGAAGUGGCUCAAGAAGAAGGAACAAGCCAGGCCCUGAGAGAGGAGGCCCAGCGAAGGGAUUCAGCCCUGCAGCAGUUGCGCACAGCCGUGAAGGAGCUUUCAGUGCAAAACCAGGACUUGAUUGAGAAGAAUCUGACGCUCCAGGAACACCUGCGCCAGGCCCAACCAGGGUCUCCACCUUCACCAGACACGGCCCAGCUGGCACUUGAGCUGCACCAGGAGUUGGCCAGUUGCCUUCAAGAUCUGCAGGCUGUCUGUAGCAUUGUGACCCAGAGGGCCCAGGGCCAUGACCCCAAUCUCUCCCUGCUUCUGGGCAUUCACUCAGCACAGCACCCAGAGACUCAGCUAGAUUUGCAGAAGCCAGAUGUGAUCAAGAGGAAACUAGAAGAGGUUCAACAGCUGCGUCGUGACAUUGAGGACUUAAGGACCACCAUGUCAGACAGAUAUGCCCAGGACAUGGGAGAAAACUGUGUCACACAGUGAGGAAUUCUGGGGGAUUCCCCCAGGGAGGAGCUGGGCUGCUGAGAGCCUAGUCCAGCAGGUUUCUGCCCUGACAUUCUCUUGUCUGCUAUUCCCAGAGAGAGGUCUCAGAGGGGAGGGGAGAGCCUGCAUCUGGGGGCCAAGGGCUGAUUAGGGAACUGUGUCCUACCCCACACUGGCAUGUUGGAUUACGUUUGUCCUGUUAAUUCACUCUUGACGGUGAGUUACUAAUUAACUUUUGGCAGGUACAACAGAUAAGUCCUCACAAACUGUUCCCAGCCCUAGGCUGACAUGAGAGACGAACAGGCUGUCCACCUUUCUUCUCCAUCCAAUGGGAUGGAUCCAUGUUCAUUCCCACUUCACACCUUGGUCCUGCUGAUCAGAGAGCUCAUCAGAGGGGCCUGGAAAGGCUGAGCAAGUACCAGUAACAAUGGCCAUUUAAGAAUUCUCAGGCCCCAUGUGCCAGCCUUCCUGGGAACUGAGCUGGCUUUCUGGGUUUUCUCAUGCCUGGUCUCACUGCUUCUUCCUCAGGGCUCUUGUUCUCCCAGAAGCCUCAGGGUAACGUGUUGGUUAGCACGUAACUACUAGGAUUGGGGCCCUAGGGAUUAUAGCCGGGACUCUAAUCUGCCUACCAUGCCAUUUAACAAGAGAUCCCACUCUCCAGCUGCCUUGUGUCCCUAGGGCCCUGGCCAUGUGUUUAGCACAGCCCCUUUCUCCUUUGUUCUCAGGCCUUCCAGGUAGUCCCCUUCCUGGACUUAAGAGUGCUAACUCUUCUCUGUGGUUCUAGCCUUGGACAGAAUUAUAUCCCAGAGACCACAGAGCAACUGUCAAGCUGCUUACCCCCUGACCCAGGGCUACAGCCUGUGCCCAGCCCUCUAAUUUGUGCCUCUCUUGUGUUGGGGGCAGUGGGGGUUAUUUCUUUCCCUUUCCUGCUCUGGCCUCCUUGAAAGUUCAGAGUACCCAGUACAAGUCAGCUUUAAAGUACAGCUUUUAGUGUUUCCUGGGUUGUUUCUCUGGGACUUUAGGGCGAGCCCUUUGCCCUCUGGUUUUUCUUGCCUCCUGGUUUAGGGAGCAUCUCACACUUGUUAGUAUCUGGUUGUUGGGCCAGCCAUGCCUCCUCUAGAUCUGGAGCCAGGCCAGGCAAGGGCCACGUGUGGGCCAGUCAGCCACUAUAAGAUUUUUGCUAAGCUUUGGGCUGUUGGCAGCAUCUUGGACCUCAUGCCUGGGCCUGAAUGAGGCUCUUUCUUAAGUGUUUUUACAAGUUUGUGUUUUAUUUAUGGAGUGACUUAUCCCUUCCAUUCAGAGCAGCCCCACCCAGCCAGCCCUUCAGCCUCUGGGCUCCUGCCUCUUAAAGGCAGAGCUGCCUGGUUGGUCUCCACCCUGUGCAUUGGGAGCCCAGCCACCAUGCUCACGGGUAUCUUUCCUCAUAAAGUUUAUAACCAGUUAUUUAUAUGAAUCUUUGUUAUGUCCACUUGUUUGUAUUGCCUAUUUUGAUUAUAAAAUAAAGUAUCUUAACAGA